This 468-nucleotide ribosomal RNA is filed under the name uncultured bacterium. Its description in RNAcentral is "partial 16S ribosomal RNA". It matches the Rfam family "Bacterial small subunit ribosomal RNA", at positions 28 to 507 of the family's 1533-position model. The record is from RNAcentral.
GACGAACGCUGGCGGCGUGCUUAACACAUGCAAGUCGAACGGAAAGGCCCUGCUUUUGUGGGGUGCUCGAGUGGCGAACGGGUGAGUAACACGUGAGUAACCUGCCCUUGACUCUGGGAUAACUUCGGGAAACUGGGGCUAAUACCGGAUAGGAGCUCCUGCUGCAUGGUGGGGGUUGGAAAGUUUCGGCGGUUGGGGUUGGACUCGCGGCUUAUCAGCUUGUUGGUGGGGUAGUGGCUUACCAAGGCUUUGACGGGUAGCCGGCCUGAGAGGGUGACCGGCCACAUUGGGACUGAGAUACGGCCCAGACUCCUACGGGAGGCAGCAGUGGGGAAUAUUGCACAAUGGGCGGAAGCCUGAUGCAGCAACGCCGCGUGCGGGAUGACGGCCUUCGGGUUGUAAACCGCUUUCGCCUGUGACGAAGCGUGAGUGACGGUAAUGGGUAAAGAAGCACCGGCUAACUACGUG